Cinara cedri is the source of this 639-nucleotide non-coding RNA. The record is from the annotation of a GenBank genome assembly. Lineage: Eukaryota; Metazoa; Arthropoda; Insecta; Hemiptera; Aphididae.
UACCUGUGUAUGUUGAUGUAUGUGUGUAUUAUGAAAUCCGCGAUUGAAACAAACGACAAUGGCGUUAUAUUAUCUACGUUUUUUUUCUGUUUCGACCAUAGACGGAUUAUGAUAAUAACAAUAAUAGUACAGUAGAUUUUCAUACAACUAUACCCACUUUGAAAAAAAAAAAAUCGCCGACAGCUCUAAUAAUAGCAAAAUAAGCCUAUCGGUUCGUGUAUACAUCGUCGGUACGAUGGUGUGAGGAUGCAUGUUGAGAACUCCUAGGACACGUUACGUAUACACUGUUCGGUAUCGACUUGUGGGCACCAGGCAUACAAUAUCAUAGGUAGAGAGGUAUCUACCCCGUGUGAUCUAUACGACAAUAUUCAUUGUGCAGAAUUCCGUCGGAGCAGCCGGAUGUCGUGAUGAUGGGCGCGCUACUUUGGCUCCUGUCGACCGCGGUGUUCGUCACGUUGGUUUUUUCUCAAAACGAUUUGCAAGGUAAUCGUUUCACGUUUUAUUAUAUUAUAAUAACUAUUAUUGUUAUUAAGGAUAUUAUUACAUCUAUAAUACAAUAGUAUAACAGUGAUAAUAAUUAUUAUUGUAAUUGUUGUUAUUAGGUAUAGAUUUUAACAUUAUAUAGUUUCACACACACAC